RNAcentral lists this long non-coding RNA (992 nucleotides) under Astyanax mexicanus (Mexican tetra). RNAcentral's name for it is "lncRNA (ENSAMXG00005000680.1)". The record is from RNAcentral. Lineage: Eukaryota; Metazoa; Chordata; Actinopteri; Characiformes; Acestrorhamphidae.
AUUAUUGUGGACAAUAAUAAUAAUAAUAAUAAUAAUAAUAAUAAUAAUAGGCAUGGUGUUGUAUCUCCACAGUGUUGAACAGUUUAACCCACUGAUGAACAUCAGCUGUAACACCAGUCUGGAACAGGCCACAUGCUCACAGGCGGUGACGGGACUGACAGCGCAGGACCUGGCCAGUUUUCUCACCUGUUCACUGUCCAGCAAUACUACCUACUACAAGGAGACGUGGAAGCUCCUCUUCACUAAACUGGACGGAGUUCUGGACAACGCCCUCAGGAUCUUCUCUAGCAGAGCGCUGCCCUGGCCAGUCAACAACCCCUCAGUGUCGGAGAUGCUGGAUGCAGUUGCUGAUGUUCGUCUGCAGCAAUUCAGUCCUGACCAAUGGGAGAACGUGUCUGUAAUAGCCAACCUGUUCGAUAACGUCCUGAAGCCGCUCUUACCCUUCGCUUCAGCAGAUCUGCUCUACUGCUUCAGCAGCAAGAACUUCAGCUGCAACACCUACCACCUCCUGUUGAAGGAGUUUAGUGAUCAGAUGUUCCUCCUGGAUCAGAUGGAGAAGCUAAGAGUUCUGAAAGGCUUCAUCCUGCCUUACCUCACCAAGAACAGCACAGACAUGGGCUGUGUGUCCAGCACUAACGGCAGUUCUGAUUGGCUGGUGAAGAACUUUGGGGCGUUUUCUGAGCUAAUGACCGUCAGAGAUCUGAUAAACAUCAACCUUCUCUUUGACCCGCUUCUGGCUCUGUCCCAGCUUAGUCCCUCUCAGGUAGCUCAGGUGAUGCUGAUGGACGUUCCUGGUCACUCCACAGACGAGGUCAUCAACUCUGUGUUUGAUUUCCUGGUUGAAUCUCCGGAAACUCAUAGAAUGCCUGCAGUUCUGAACGCCCUCACCAGUUCCACUGUAAAUACACACUUUUACACACCUCCACACGCCUUUACACACCUCCACACACCUCUACACACCUUUACACACCUCCACACACCUUUACACACCU